Molecule: non-coding RNA, 548 nt
Organism: Callithrix jacchus (white-tufted-ear marmoset)
Lineage: Eukaryota; Metazoa; Chordata; Mammalia; Primates; Cebidae
Source: RefSeq, a predicted model, not a curated record
GGUGACAUUUGGGGGGAAGUGUGGUAAAAUUUGGGAUAGGCAAGGUUGCUUUUUAAUCUUUAAUGAAGGUGCCUUGUAAAUGACCUAAUUCUGUUUGCUUGUAGGUGUCACUGACUGACAGAGAGGUUUAUAGAAUGUCCCACAGAUACACUCUGCCCCUCACAGCCCAGGAGACAAGGAUGUUCCUAAGUCCCAAAUACCAAGUGAAGGCCACUCUUUGGGUAUGUGCUAACACAAUUUUAAAAUAGAAGGAAAAGAAAAAGAAGAAGAAGAAAAGGACGAACAUGGAAGAAAGAAAAAACAAAAUUAGCCAGGCAUGGUGGCGUGUACCUGCAAUCCCAGGUACUUGGGAGGCUGAGACAGGAGAAUCGUUUGAACCCACGAGGCAGAGGUUGGAGUGAGGAAAUUCCAAGUCCACGUGAGGACAGGAUGAGAAGGUGGUGGUCUGCAAGCCAGGAGGAGAGGCCUCACCAGAAAGCAGCCCUGCCAGCACCUUGAUCUUGAACUUCUGGUCUCCAGACCUGUGAGAAAAUAAACCUGUUGUUCGA